CGAACCGUGCGAACGUUGUUCGGAAUCACUGGGCUUAAAGGGCGCGUAGGCGGGCUGUCAAGUCUGGGGUGAAAUGCCGCGGCUCAACCGUGGAACUGCCUUAGAUACUGACGGCCUCGAGGGAGGUAGGGCGUGCGGAACUGUAGGUGGAGCGGUGAAAUGCGUUGAUAUCUACAGGAACUCCGGUGGCGAAAGCGGCGCGCUGGACCUCUUCUGACGCUGAGGCGCGAAAGCUAGGGGAGCAAACGGGAUUAGAUACCCCGGUAGUCCUAGCCCUAAACGAUGGGUACUAGGUAGUAGACUAGAUAUGGGUUUACUGCCGAAGCUAAAGUGCUAAGUACCCCGCCUGGGGAGUAUGGUCGCAAGGCUG
RNAcentral lists this ribosomal RNA (370 nucleotides) under uncultured organism. RNAcentral describes it as "bacterial SSU rRNA". It matches the Rfam family "Bacterial small subunit ribosomal RNA", at positions 526 to 896 of the family's 1533-position model. The record is from RNAcentral.